This 461-nucleotide ribosomal RNA is filed under the name uncultured bacterium. RNAcentral's name for it is "SSU rRNA". It matches the Rfam family "Bacterial small subunit ribosomal RNA", at positions 26 to 518 of the family's 1533-position model. The record is from RNAcentral.
AGAAUCAACGCUGGCGGCGUGCCUAACACAUGCAAGUCGAACGAGAAAGGGGUAGCAAUACCCUGAGUAAAGUGGCGCACGGGUGAGUAACACGUGACUAACCUACCCUUGAGUGGGGGAUAACUGAGGGAAACCUUAGCUAAUACCACAUAAUACCCACGGGUCAAAGGAGCAAUUCGCUCGAGGAGGGGUCGCGGCCGAUUAGUUAGUUGGCGGGGUAAUGGCCCACCAAGACGAUGAUCGGUAUCCGGCCUGAGAGGGCGCACGGACACACUGGAACUGAAACACGGUCCAGACUCCUACGGGAGGCAGCAGUGGGGAAUUUUGCGCAAUGGGGGAAACCCUGACGCAGCAACGCCGCGUGGAGGAUGAAGUCCUUCGGGACGUAAACUCCUUUCGAUCGGGACGAUUAUGACGGUACCGGAAGAAGAAGCCCCGGCUAACUUCGCGCCAGCAGCCGC